GCUCCCGUGGCUCAAUUGGAUAGAGCAUUUGCCUUCGAAGCAAAGGGUUGCAGGUUCGAGUCCUGCCGGGAGCACCA
Molecule: transfer RNA, 77 nt
Filed under: Candidatus Taylorbacteria bacterium RIFCSPHIGHO2_01_FULL_45_63
Lineage: Bacteria; Candidatus Tayloriibacteriota
Also listed under: 2 other names
Description: tRNA-Arg
Rfam family: tRNA
About the family: Transfer RNA (tRNA) molecules are approximately 80 nucleotides in length. Their secondary structure includes four short double-helical elements and three loops (D, anti-codon, and T loops). Further hydrogen bonds mediate the characteristic L-shaped molecular structure. tRNAs have two regions of fundamental functional importance: the anti-codon, which is responsible for specific mRNA codon recognition, and the 3' end, to which the tRNAs corresponding amino acid is attached (by aminoacyl-tRNA synthetases). tRNAs cope with the degeneracy of the genetic code in two manners: having more than one tRNA (with a specific anti-codon) for a particular amino acid; and 'wobble' base-pairing, i.e. permitting non-standard base-pairing at the 3rd anti-codon position.
Source: RNAcentral